AGAAUCAACGCUGGCGGCGUGCCUAACACAUGCAAGUCGAACGAGAAAGUGGAGCAAUCCAUGAGUAAAGUGGCGCACGGGUGAGUAACACGUGACUAACCUACCCUUGAGUGGGGGAUAACCUAGAGAAAUCUGGGCUAAUACCGCAUAAUACCUUCGGGUCAAAGGAGCAAUUCGCUUAAGGAGGGGGUCGCGGCCGAUUAGUUAGUUGGCGGGUAAUGGCCCACCAAGACUAUGAUCGGUAUCCGGCCUGAGAGGGCGCACGGACACACUGGAACUGAAACACGGUCCAGACUCCUACGGGAGGCAGCAGUGGGAAUUUUGCGCAAUGGGGGAAACCCUGACGCAGCAACGCCGCGUGGAGGAUGAAGUCCCUUGGGACGUAAACUCCUUUCGAUCGGGACGAUAAUGACGGUACCGAGAGAAGAAGCCCCGGCUAACUCGCGCCAGCAGCCGC
This 457-nucleotide ribosomal RNA is filed under the name uncultured bacterium. RNAcentral describes it as "SSU rRNA". It matches the Rfam family "Bacterial small subunit ribosomal RNA", at positions 26 to 518 of the family's 1533-position model. The record is from RNAcentral.